GACGAACGCUGGCGGCGUGCCUAAUACAUGCAAGUUGAGCGCUGAAGGCUGGUACUUGUACCGACUGGAUGAGCAGCGAACGGGUGAGUAACGCGUGGGGAAUCUGCCUUUGAGCGGGGGACAACAUUUGGAAACGAAUGCUAAUACCGCAUAAAAACUUUAAACACAAGUUUUAAGUUUGAAAGAUGCAAUUGCAUCACUCAAAGAUGAUCCCGCGUUGUAUUAGCUAGUUGGUGAGGUAAAGGCUCACCAAGGCGAUGAUACAUAGCCGACCUGAGAGGGUGAUCGGCCACAUUGGGACUGAGACACGGCCCAAACUCCUACGGGAGGCAGCAGUAGGGAAUCUUCGGCAAUGGACGAAAGUCUGACCGAGCAACGCCGCGUGAGUGAAGAAGGGUUUCGGAUCGUAAAACUCUGUUGGUAGAGAAGAACGUUGGUGAGAGUGGAAAGCUCAUCAAGUGACGGUAACUACCCAGAAAGGGACGGCUAACUACGUG
RNAcentral lists this ribosomal RNA (497 nucleotides) under uncultured bacterium. RNAcentral's name for it is "partial 16S ribosomal RNA". It matches the Rfam family "Bacterial small subunit ribosomal RNA", at positions 28 to 507 of the family's 1533-position model. The record is from RNAcentral.